This 253-nucleotide ribosomal RNA is filed under the name uncultured bacterium. RNAcentral's name for it is "partial 16S ribosomal RNA". It matches the Rfam family "Bacterial small subunit ribosomal RNA", at positions 524 to 776 of the family's 1533-position model. The record is from RNAcentral.
UACGUGGGGCGCAAGCGUUAUCCGGAAUUAUUGGGCGUAAAGAGCUCGUAGGCGGUUUGUUGCGUCUGCCGUGAAAGUCCGGGGCUCAACUCCGGAUCUGCGGUGGGUACGGGCAGACUAGAGUGAUGUAGGGGAGGCUGGAAUUCCUGGUGUAGCGGUGAAAUGCGCAGAUAUCAGGAGGAACACCGGUGGCGAAGGCGGGUCUCUGGGCCGAUACUGACGCUGAGGAGCGAAAGCGUGGGGAGCGAACAGG